RNAcentral lists this ribosomal RNA (495 nucleotides) under uncultured bacterium. RNAcentral's name for it is "partial 16S ribosomal RNA". It matches the Rfam family "Bacterial small subunit ribosomal RNA", at positions 28 to 507 of the family's 1533-position model. The record is from RNAcentral.
GACGAACGCUGGCGGCGUGCCUAAUACAUGCAAGUAGAACGCUGAAGGAGGAGCUUGCUCUUCUGGAUGAGUUGCGAACGGGUGAGUAACGCGUAGGUAACCUGCCUGGUAGCGGGGGAUAACUAUUGGAAACGAUAGCUAAUACCGCAUAACAGUAGAUGUUGCAUGACAUUUACUUAAAAGGUGCAAUUGCAUCACUACCAGAUGGACCUGCGUUGUAUUAGCUAGUUGGUGGGGUAACGGCUCACCAAGGCGACGAUACAUAGCCGACCUGAGAGGGUGAUCGGCCACACUGGGACUGAGACACGGCCCAGACUCCUACGGGAGGCAGCAGUAGGGAAUCUUCGGCAAUGGACGGAAGUCUGACCGAGCAACGCCGCGUGAGUGAAGAAGGUUUUCGGAUCGUAAAGCUCGGUUGUAAGAGAAGAACGAGUGUGAGAGUGGAAAGUUCACAAUGUGACGGUAUCUUACCAGAAAGAGACGGCUAACUACGUG